GCUGGGUGUGGUGGCGCAUGCCUGUGAUCCUAGCAGCUCAGGAGGCUGAGUCAGGAGGAUCCCAAGUUCAAAGCCAAACUUAACGAGGCCCUAAGCAACUCAGCGAGACCCUGUCUCUA
RNAcentral lists this small RNA (119 nucleotides) under Marmota monax (woodchuck). Lineage: Eukaryota; Metazoa; Chordata; Mammalia; Rodentia; Sciuridae. The record is from RNAcentral.